RNAcentral lists this ribosomal RNA (405 nucleotides) under Clostridioides difficile. RNAcentral's name for it is "bacterial SSU rRNA". It matches the Rfam family "Bacterial small subunit ribosomal RNA", at positions 1138 to 1533 of the family's 1533-position model. The record is from RNAcentral. Lineage: Bacteria; Bacillati; Bacillota; Clostridia; Peptostreptococcales; Peptostreptococcaceae.
CUCUAGAGAGACUGCCAGGGAUAACCUGGAGGAAGGUGGGGAUGACGUCAAAUCAUCAUGCCCCUUAUGCUUAGGGCUACACACGUGCUACAAUGGGUAGUACAGAGGGUUGCCAAGCCGUAAGGUGGAGCUAAUCCCUUAAAGCUACUCUCAGUUCGGAUUGUAGGCUGAAACUCGCCUACAUGAAGCUGGAGUUACUAGUAAUCGCAGAUCAGAAUGCUGCGGUGAAUGCGUUCCCGGGUCUUGUACACACCGCCCGUCACACCACGGGAGUUGGAGACGCCCGAAGCCGAUUAUCUAACCUUUUGGAAGAAGUCGUCGAAGGGGGAAUCAAUAACUGGGGUGAAGUCGUAACAAGGUAGCCGUAUCGGAAGGUGCGGCUGGAUCACCUCCUUUCUAAGGAGA